Long non-coding RNA from Oncorhynchus tshawytscha (Chinook salmon), 1618 nucleotides. The record is from Ensembl. NCBI's taxonomy places the organism in Eukaryota, Metazoa, Chordata, Actinopteri, Salmoniformes, Salmonidae.
UUUAUACUGUUGCCAUGCCCAUCAAGGCCCUGAUUGGUGAACCGCUGACCCAUUCAUAGCUUAUAACAUACAGUAUUUUCAACUGACAAACAUGAUUACAUUUUCAUUUACCCUGAAAUGAUUAUUCAACAUGUCCUCUCCUGGGAUUUGAACUCACAACCACUUGGUUUGCGGUACUCCGAUCUUCCUGCUACGCCACCAUGACUGUGUAAGUUGUAGGCCCUAACAGCUUUAUGUAGGCCCUAACAGCUCUAAGUAGGCCCUGACAGCUUUAUGUCGGUCCUAACAGCUCUACGUAGGCCCUAACAGCUUUAUGUAGGCCCUAACAGCUUUAUGUCGGCCCUGACAGCUUUAUGUAGGCCCUAACAGCUUUAUGUCGGUCCUAACAGCUCUACGUAGGCCCUAACAGCUUUAUGUAGGCCCUGACAGCUUUAUGUCGGCCCUGACAGCUUUAUGUCGGUCCUAACAGCUCUACGUAGGCCCUAACAGCUUUAUGUAGGCCCUGACAGCUUUAUGUCGGCCCUAAUAGCUUUAUGUAGGCCCUAACAGCUCUACGUAGGCCCUAACAGCUUUAUGUAGGCCCUGACAGCUUUAUGUCGGCCCUAACAGCUUUAUGUAGGCCCUAACAGCUCUACGUAGGCCCUAACAGCUUUAUGUAGGCCCUGACAGCUUUAUGCAGGCCCUAACAGCUCUACGUAGGCCCUGACAGCUUUAUGUAGGCCCUAACAGCUCUACGUAGGCCCUGACAGCUUUAUGUCGGCCCUAACAGCUUUAUGUAGGCCCUAACAGCUCUACAUAGGCCCUGACAGCUUUAUGCAGGCCCUAACAGCUUUAUGUAGGCUCUAACAGCUUUAUGUUGGCCCUAACAGCUUUAUGUAGGCUCUAACAGCUUUAUGUUGGCUCUAACAGCUUUAUGUCGGCCCUAACAGCUUUAUGUAGGCCCUAACAGCUUUAUGUAGGCCCUAACAGCUCCAUGUAGGCCCUAACAGUUUGUGGGCACCGUUUGUCACCGUUAUAGUGUAAUUAAUGCAUUGUUUAGUGUUGUGUAGUGGCUUUGCUGGCAUGCAUCUAAAACAAUUUUUUGGGAGUUUGCCCCACCAAGAUUUACAUGCUAAAAUCGCCACUGAUUACCAUGUAUAUUAAACUAUGGUGAAUCGCUGUAUGUUUCAAUGCUGUAUGUACCAUCAGUGCCACAUCUGUUUUGAGCCCCACCUGUUUAGCAAAAACAAUAUAUAUGUUUUGCCUUUUUUUAAUGUUAUUUUAUCACAUAACAGUUUGCAAACAAUGUACAAAAGAAAGAGUUAAUAAAGACAUAAAUAAAUAAUAAAGACAAGACUCUUUGUUGAGUAAGGCUCCAACAUGCAGGUGUUUCAGCCCCGCUCAGGGCUUCCUGUGGUGGAGGGCAGCCAGCGGAUAAUGCGGAGCGCAAGGGUUGGUUAUGUUCUCUAGUUGACCCAUGAUAGGCUCAGUGUUCUGUCACUCAUGGGGACACAAAUUUUGAAUAAGAUUUUACCAACUUUACCAACACGUAUCCUUAGUUUUUGUCAAAAUUGCUCAAGCUCAGAAAACGGUGUUGGGAAUCAUUGGCAGACAGCAAUGUUCAAACCUUGUCUUUGAU